GGAGCUUGCUCCUUCGACGUUAGCGGCGGACGGGUGAGUAACACGUGGGCAACCUACCCUAUAGUUUGGGAUAACUCCGGGAAACCGGGGCUAAUACCGAAUAAUUUGUUUCACCUCAUGGUGAAACACUGAAAGACGGUUUCGGCUGUCGCUAUAGGAUGGGCCCGCGGCGCAUUAGCUAGUUGGUGAGGUAACGGCUCACCAAGGCGACGAUGCGUAGCCGACCUGAGAGGGUGAUCGGCCACACUGGGACUGAGACACGGCCCAGACUCCUACGGGAGGCAGCAGUAGGGAAUCUUCCACAAUGGGCGAAAGCCUGAUGGAGCAACGCCGCGUGAGUGAAGAAGGAUUUCGGUUCGUAAAACUCUGUUGUAAGGGAAGAACAAGUACAGUAGUAACUGGCUGUACCUUGACGGUACCUUAUUAGAAAGCCACGGCUAACUACGUGCCAGCAGCCGCGGUAAUACGUAGGUGGCAAGCGUUGUCCGGAAUUAUUGGGCGUAAAGCGCGCGCAGGUGGUUUCUUAAGUCUGAUGUGAAAGCCCACGGCUCAACCGUGGAGGGUCAUUGGAAACUGGGAG
Molecule: ribosomal RNA, 580 nt
Filed under: Lysinibacillus fusiformis
Lineage: Bacteria; Bacillati; Bacillota; Bacilli; Caryophanales; Bacillaceae
Description: bacterial SSU rRNA
Rfam family: Bacterial small subunit ribosomal RNA
Source: RNAcentral